Ribosomal RNA from Erinaceus europaeus (western European hedgehog), 116 nucleotides. Lineage: Eukaryota; Metazoa; Chordata; Mammalia; Eulipotyphla; Erinaceidae. The record is from Ensembl.
GUCUAUGGCCAUACCACCCUGAAUAUGCCCGCUCUCAUCUGAUCUCAGAAGCUGAGCAGGGUUGGGCCUGGUUAGUACUUGUAUGGGAGAGAGAGAGAGAGAGGGAGAGAGAGAGG